GAUGAACGCUGACGGCAUGCUUAACACAUGCAAGUCGAAGGGAAAGUGCUUCUUGCUCUGUGGUACCCAUGUGGGACGGGUGAGUAACGCGUAAGAAACUUGCCUGCGGGACUGGGAUAACAGCAGGAAACUGCUGAUAUUACACCAUAAGGUCAUUCAGCUGCCUAGCUUAGUGAUGAAAGGUGACGCCUGCGGGGAGCCUUGCGUCCUAUUAGCUAGUUGUUGGGGUAACGGCCCACAAAGACGAAGGUAAGUAGCCGGCCGGAGGGGGAGAGGGCCACAGGGGGAGUGAGAUACGGCACUUACACCUACGGGAGACAGGAGUGGGGAAUAGUGGACAGGGCGGGCAACUCUGAUCGAGCAAUCCUGUGUGCGCGAAGAGCCUUUUCGGAUUGUAAAGUGCUUUCAGCAGGGAAGAAGGAAGUGACGGUACCUGCAGAAGAAGCGCCGGCUAACUACGUG
RNAcentral lists this ribosomal RNA (462 nucleotides) under uncultured bacterium. RNAcentral describes it as "partial 16S ribosomal RNA". It matches the Rfam family "Bacterial small subunit ribosomal RNA", at positions 28 to 507 of the family's 1533-position model. The record is from RNAcentral.